Molecule: ribosomal RNA, 335 nt
Filed under: uncultured Gammaproteobacteria bacterium
Lineage: Bacteria; Pseudomonadati; Pseudomonadota; Gammaproteobacteria
Description: bacterial SSU rRNA
Rfam family: Bacterial small subunit ribosomal RNA
Source: RNAcentral
GAUGAACGCUGGCGGCAGCCCUUAUACAUGCAAGUCGAACGAGAAAGGUUCCUUCGGGAGCGAGUAAAGUGGCGGACGGGUGAGUAACGCGUAGGAAUCUACCUUUCAGUGGGGGAUAGCUCGGGGAAACUCGAAUUAAUACCGCAUACUACCCUUCGGGGGAAAGGGGCCUCUCCUUGGAAGCUCUCGCUGUUAGAUGAGCCUGCGUGAGAUUAGCUUGUUGGUAAGGUAAUGGCUUACCAAGGCUACGAUCUCUAGCUGGUCUGAGAGGACGAUCAGCCACACUGGGACUGAGACACGGCCCAGACUCCUACGGGAGGCAGCAGUAGGGAAUA